GGCUGAGGAAGUUGCUUCAAAAUAGACUCAAGAAACGUGCAGGCUGCUGCUAGGAGACUUGGGUCCAACUGCUCCCUCCAGAUCCUGCCACACCUAAAUGCUCCCAAGAAGAUAACUAUCUCAGAGAAGCAGUGUGAGAAACAUGGAGAAGAACAGCUACUCCCUAUAAGCAAAGAGAGAGCAAAGAUCAAUGACAUAAUUCCCGUCUGCAGACAACUAUGAGCUCACAGGAAACUGAGAAUUUGUAUGACCUUCAUCCCACAGAUGACAAGCAGGCUCUCAGAUUGGCGGGAUGACACAAUGAAGCAGGGAGUCCGGGCCAGGGGAAGAGGAGGAGCACGCAGUGAAUUCUCCGACCCGAAAACCCAGAGGCCCCUCACACAGACUUAGAUAAUGAACGCCCCCCAUCCCAACUUCUCUAUUCACUACUUGCAAGCGCCUCCAGCUUAAGUUUUGAAAAAAGCAAAUUUGACUGCCUAAGAGUUCAAGAGAAAUGAACCGAAGAGACACAGAGCCGUUCCCCAGAGCGAAGGGAGCUUCCUCUGAGCUAACUGCCAGAGGAAUGCGGCACAGCCCAGCAAAUGUUUAAAAUCACGUCCUGUUCUGCCUCUUGUUUUCCAGAAAAGUGUCAUUACUGUCAACUAUUUCACAAGACAAAUAAACCAAUGAAUGAAAUAUAUCCUCCCCCCUCUUCCCAAUGAAAACAUUCUAGGGCUGAGCGGCUUCCUUCCUUCCUCCUCCUCACAGGAACCAC
Piliocolobus tephrosceles (Ugandan red Colobus) is the source of this 754-nucleotide long non-coding RNA. RefSeq lists it as uncharacterized. The record is from RefSeq and is a predicted model, not a curated record. NCBI's taxonomy places the organism in Eukaryota, Metazoa, Chordata, Mammalia, Primates, Cercopithecidae. The transcript is spliced from 4 exons.